RNAcentral lists this ribosomal RNA (301 nucleotides) under uncultured bacterium. RNAcentral describes it as "partial 16S ribosomal RNA". It matches the Rfam family "Bacterial small subunit ribosomal RNA", at positions 509 to 807 of the family's 1533-position model. The record is from RNAcentral.
CAGCCGCCGCGGUAAUACGAAGGGUGCAAGCGUUAAUCGGAAUUACUGGGCGUAAAGCGCGCGUAGGUGGUUUGGUAAGAUGGAUGUGAAAUCCCCGGGCUCAACCUGGGAACUGCAUCCAUAACUGCCUGACUAGAGUACGGUAGAGGGUGGUGGAAUUUCCUGUGUAGCGGUGAAAUGCGUAGAUAUAGGAAGGAACACCAGUGGCGAAGGCGACCACCUGGACUGAUACUGACACUGAGGUGCGAAAGCGUGGGGAGCAAACAGGAUUAGAUACCCCUGUAGUCCCUGUCUCUUAUAC